This 457-nucleotide ribosomal RNA is filed under the name uncultured bacterium. RNAcentral's name for it is "partial 16S ribosomal RNA". It matches the Rfam family "Bacterial small subunit ribosomal RNA", at positions 338 to 795 of the family's 1533-position model. The record is from RNAcentral.
CCUACGGGAGGCUGCAGUGGGGAAUAUUGCACAAUGGGGGAAACCCUGAUGCAGCGACGCCGCGUGAGUGAAGAAGUAUUUCGGUACGUAAAGCUCUAUCAGCAGGGAAGAAAAAAAGUCCUUUGGACUGUGGACGGUACCGGACCAAGAAGCCCCGGCUAACGACGUGCCAGCAGCCGCGGUAAUACGUAGGGGGCAAGCGUUAUCCGGAUUUACUGGGUGGAAAGGGAGCGUAGACGGCAGCGCAAGUCUGGAGUGAAAUGCCGGGGCCCAACCCCGGAACUGCUUUUGAAACUGUGCAGCUGGAUUGCAGGAGAGGUAAGCGGAAUUCCUAGUGUAGCGGUGAAAUGCGUAGAUAUUAGGAGGAACACCAGUGGCGACGGCGGCUUACUGGACUGUAACUGACGUUGAGGCUCGAAAGCGUGGGGAGCAAACAGGAUUAGAUACCCGAGUAGUC